AUUGAACGCUGGCGGCAUGCCUUACACAUGCAAGUCGAACGGUAACGGGCCUUCGGGUGCCGACGAGUGGCGAACGGGUGAGUAAUGCAUCGGAACGUACCUUUCAGUGGGGGAUAACGUAGCGAAAGUUACGCUAAUACCGCAUAUUCUGUGAGCAGGAAAGCAGGGGAUCGCAAGACCUUGCGCUGAUUGAGCGGCCGAUGUCAGAUUAGCUAGUUGGUGAGGUAAAGGCUCACCAAAGGCGACGAUCUGUAGCGGGUCUGAGAGGAUGAUCCGCCACACUGGAACUGAGACACGGUCCAGACUCCUACGGGAGGCAGCAGUGGGGAAUUUUGGACAAUGGGGGCAACCCUGAUCCAGCCAUGCCGCGUGAGUGAAGAAGGCCUCGGGUUGUAAAGUCACUUUUUGAGAGGAUGAGGAAGGACGGGUACUACUCAGAAUAAAGUACUCGGCGUAACUAACGUAGCCAGCAGACCGCGUAACGUCUCGUCUCUA
RNAcentral lists this ribosomal RNA (495 nucleotides) under uncultured bacterium. Its description in RNAcentral is "bacterial SSU rRNA". It matches the Rfam family "Bacterial small subunit ribosomal RNA", at positions 30 to 536 of the family's 1533-position model. The record is from RNAcentral.